RNAcentral lists this long non-coding RNA (762 nucleotides) under Homo sapiens (human). RNAcentral's name for it is "HSALNT0336317". The record is from RNAcentral. Lineage: Eukaryota; Metazoa; Chordata; Mammalia; Primates; Hominidae.
AGCUGCCAGAGCUGACAUGAAGUAGAACAGAGAUGAGCUGAGCUUUGCCCCACCUGCAGAUGUAACUUCCCACAUACACCCCUUUUGGCUGAGCUGUAUGGCCAUAAGCGUAGAGACUUGCAGCUGUAUGUGGCCGUGAAUGAGAGACCCAGAGAUGGAAGCUUCACAGCAUUUGUGGCAGUAGCGGCAGAAAUGCAUCACACAUUUGAGUCCCUAGAUGGCCUUGUGGAGAAACGUCUACCUGCCACCCUGGACUAUUAGCUGAAAGAUAAGCGGUGGGUCCUGCUAUCAACUUGUAGUAAAUACCUUCCUUGUUAUGAUAAGGCAUCACACCCUGUUGCAGUCAAAUUCUUAACCACUGCAGUUCCAUCACAGACAUGAAAAAGAUGCAGGCAAGAUAUGGAGUGUCUUCAUGGGGGAGAUUCAGAAGCCAUGGAUGGUGUAGAAAGAAAUAUUCUUCAAACAAAACCUUAUGAGGAACAGAACCAUAGCUCCUGAAACUGUGUGAAAGCAAGAGAAAGAGAGUCUUUUGUCAAUAGUCUGUCCACACAUAUCCAGACCCAACCCAAAGUUACAACCUGACCUCCACGAUCACUUUCCCUCACAGGGACCGCACUAUGAGGAACACGCCAAAGUUGAGAAAGGGUAAGAUUCUUGCCCAACCUCAAGACCAGUGCUAUUCUCUUCACGCCAAGGCAGGAAGAUCACUGAAGCCCAGAAGUUCGAGGCUAAAAUGAGCUAUGAUUGUGCCAACGCACUUCA